Molecule: long non-coding RNA, 836 nt
Filed under: Sinocyclocheilus grahami
Lineage: Eukaryota; Metazoa; Chordata; Actinopteri; Cypriniformes; Cyprinidae
Description: lncRNA (ENSSGRG00000012976.1)
Source: RNAcentral
CUCUGUUCCAGCUCAAGGUGUUUUUUUCAAAAGCAAAGGAUGAAAAGAAAGUCACAUAAUAUGGACUCAUCCAAAGGAUACAACCCUGACAAUAUGGAUCUGCUGACAUUAUUCAUAGUCAACCAGAUUGCAUCAAAGAAAGAGCAAACAGGUACAGUGAUGGUGCACUUAUAAAUGAAUACAACGCAAACAUUAUUUUAUGGCCUUGUAAUAAAGCUAAUUUGUAGAAUCAUAUGUUAUCUUUUGUCUUCUAGACAAAUCCAAAAAUAAACCGUUUGACUGGUGUGAAAAGAACCAAAAAAAACUUUGAAAGAACCCUUAGAGAUACCAAUGAGCCCUUGUGCUCCUUCAAACCUGAACCUAGUUAUCAGUCAGCCACAGUACAGUAUUGAAACGCCUGGUUAUAAAGUCAGAAAACAUCGUCUUUCUGAAGAAUUCAAGUUCAAGCCGCUGUCUCCUGUGCUUGAAUCAAACCUGUCUGAUGUCAGUGGCUCAGAAAAUCAACCGCAACCAUCCUCAACAUCUGCUGGCUCCUCAGAUCCAAUCCAACCAAAACCCACACCACACAUACUGUAUCCUCUUCCCUGCCAACUCUGGGAAAUCCUAACAAUAUGAAAAAAAAAUACUCAGGUUAAUUUUUUUUAAAUCAGCAGCUUUUGCAACACACCUAAUAACUCAAAUUGUCACAGUAUAUGUCUCUUUUCAGAUUGUGUCAUUCUCUCAACCAACAAAGCUGGCUAAUCCAUGGCCAGAUGAAGCUCCCAUGCAAGAUGUGUCACACAACAGCCCAGUGGCUGGAAAUCAGUUUAAGAGCACAGUACCAAAGUGAGUACAAU